This 811-nucleotide ribosomal RNA is filed under the name uncultured bacterium. RNAcentral's name for it is "bacterial SSU rRNA". It matches the Rfam family "Bacterial small subunit ribosomal RNA", at positions 62 to 882 of the family's 1533-position model. The record is from RNAcentral.
UCGAGGGGUAGAGUACAAUACUUGAGACCGGCGCACGGGUGCGUGACGCGUAUGCAAUCUACCUUUUACAGAGGGAUAGCCCAGAGAAAUUUGGAUUAAUACCUCAUAGUAUAACGACCCGGCAUCGGGAUGUUAUUAAAGUCACAACGGUAAAAGAUGAGCAUGCGUCCCAUUAGCUAGUUGGUGUGGUAACGGCACACCAAGGCAACGAUGGGUAGGGGUCCUGAGAGGGAGAUCCCCCACACUGGUACUGAGACACGGACCGGACUCCUACGGGAGGCAGCAGUGAGGAAUAUUGGUCAAUGGGCGCAAGCCUGAACCAGCCAUGCCGCGUGCAGGAUGACGGUCCUAUGGAUUGUAAACUGCUUUUGUACAGGAAGAAACACUCCCUCGUGAGGGAGCUUGACGGUACUGUAAGAAUAAGGAUCGGCUAACUCCGUGCCAGCAGCCGCGGUAAUACGGAGGAUCCAAGCGUUAUCCGGAAUCAUUGGGUUUAAAGGGUCCGUAGGCGGGUUUAUAAGUCAGUGGUGAAAGCCCAUCGCUCAACGAUGGAACGGCCAUUGAUACUGUAGAUCUUGAAUUAUUAGGAAGUAACUAGAAUAUGUAGUGUAGCGGUGAAAUGCUUAGAGAUUACAUGGAAUACCAAUUGCGAAGGCAGGUUACUACUAAUGGAUUGACGCUGAUGGACGAAAGCGUGGGUAGCGAACAGGAUUAGAUACCCUGGUAGUCCACGCCGUAAACGAUGGAUACUAGCUGUUCGGAGCAAUCUGAGUGGCUAAGCGAAAGUGAUAAGUAUCCCACCUGGGGAGUA